UGAUUAGGUUUGGAGACCCCAGGAGUUCCCUUCAAGCACUUCACGACGCACUAUUUAGAGAGUUGUUGUGAAGUGUUUGGGGGAACUCUCGGUGUCGCCAAGCAUUCAAAUAUAUAGCGUUUAGACUACAAGAGAUAAGAGAAAAGUUUGGUAUUACUAUGAGUUCUCUUUAAGCACUUCAUACGACACCAUUAUUGUUAGGGUUGUUAUGAAGUGUUUGGAGGAACUCUCAGUGCCAUCAAACAUUUAAUACAUAGUGUUUAAACCACAAGAUUGAGAUGAGAGCCAAGUUUGGCAUUGUCGUGAGUUCCCUUCAAGCACUUCACGUGGCACUAUUUCAAUGCGUACCGUGUGAAGUGUUUGGGGGAACUCUCGGCAUCACCAAACAUUUAAUAAAUAGUGUUUAAGCCACAAUAUUGAGAUAAGAGUCACGUUUGGUAUUAUCGUGAGUUCCCUUCAAGCACUUCACGUGACACUAUUUCAAUGUCUAUUAUGUGAAGUGUUUGGGGGAACUCUUGGUAUCGCCAAACAUUUAAUAGAUAGUGUUUAAACCACAAGAUUGAGAUAAGAGCCACGUUUGGUAUUAUCGUGAGUUCCCUUCAACCACUUCACGUGGCACUAUUUUAGGACCUACUAUGUGAAGUGUUUGGGGGAACUCUCGACAUCACCAAGCAUUGAGUAAUUAGUGACAUUUCAUACUACAAGAGGUGAAGCCUAGUUUGGUAUCACCGUGAGUUCCCUUCAAGCACUUCACGUGGCACUAUUUCAAUGCCUAUUGUGAAGUGUUUGGGGGAACUCUCGAUGUUCCCAAGCAUUUAACAUGUGAUGUUUCAAACUACGAGCCAUAUUUGGUAUCGCCAUGAGUUCUCUUCAAACUCUUCAUACGACACUAAUUCAAGUG
Molecule: precursor RNA, 901 nt
Filed under: Oryza sativa Japonica Group (Japanese rice)
Lineage: Eukaryota; Viridiplantae; Streptophyta; Magnoliopsida; Poales; Poaceae
Description: putative precursor microRNA R395n-s
Rfam family: mir-395 microRNA precursor family (bases 438-525)
Source: RNAcentral